Molecule: long non-coding RNA, 2952 nt
Filed under: Homo sapiens (human)
Lineage: Eukaryota; Metazoa; Chordata; Mammalia; Primates; Hominidae
Description: PREDICTED lncRNA (TCONS_00059641)
Source: RNAcentral
CGGCUGAGAAACCUCCUCUGCCAGAUCCUGACCUGAGCCAGGAGGCGGCCAGGAAACUGGAUUUUGGGACUGGGAUUUCAGAGAGGAAGCUGGAGAGCUGCAGGGUGGUCAUCUGUCACUUUAUUUUGCCCGUCUUGUAGCAUGUGGGUCUUUCGCAGCAGGAAGUGUGUUUUACAACCAGAGCCCCCGCCCUCCUGCAGCGCAGGCGCAGCUGGCUGGGCUCCUGCUUCCCACUCUCCACCUCAUCCAUAUUUGUCCUCGUCCCUGCCAGUCUCGAAAAGGCACUCUGUCACGUGUACACAGGAAAGGGCCCUGACAAGAGGAUGGGACUGCAGUUGUGGCUGCCAGGGCCCCGGCCAGGGUGAAAACAAGGAACAUUCCAGAGAAGAUCACAAGGAUGCGAAUAAAAUCGGAGCUGCACAGGGAUCUUUGGGCUGUAAUAGGAGGGGACACACAGGGGUUAGGGGAGGGUCUAGCCCUUGGCUCCCUCAGCCCAGCCCUCCUGUCACCUUGCCUCUCCCCUUUCCCCCACCUUAUUCUAUCCCACCCGCCACCGUUGGCCAACUCCUCUCCUAAACAGUGGACUCUGCUUUUUCCCCUCCUCUUAUCCCUAAUCCUAGGAGCUUUCUGUCUGGCUUCCCUCCUGGCCCCUCGUGUAUGCAUUCUCUCUAGCGGUGGGGAUUAAGGAGAAAACUCACGUGGCCAGUGGGUAGAGAGAGUCCGGGCAGGCAGCUGCCUGAAGUCAGCCAGAGUCUGCAUGUGCCCAGCUGUCCUGGCCUCCAGCAUCUCUGGAAAAACAGAGACAGAAUGAGUAGCAGCAGGGGACCCCAUAGGGCACAUCUGAAGGCCUGAGAGGUGCUGGAUGGGAUGGGAAGGCAGAAACAGGCUGACCUUAUCUAGGGGUAGGAGUGGGGAGUACUGGUUGGGGUAUCACCGCUACCCCACGUGAUGGCACAGAGAGUUGCCUGGAACUUACCACUGACAUAAGGUUGGAGUGCAGUGGCACGAUCUCGGCUCAGUGCAACCUCCGCCUCCUGAGUUCAAGUGAUUCUCCUGCCUCAGCCUCCCUAGUAGCUGGGAUUACAGGACAAGGAGAGGGACAAAUUCCUUCUUGGCAUCCUUAUGGCCCUGUGACCUGCUAAUGAAUGCUGACUCUGAGUUGCUACUAGAAUUUGGUUUCCUUGUGGCUUCCCAGGAAUUGUGAGCCAUGUUGGAUAAGGACCUGCAAGGGAAGAAUGAGGAAGCCUGGGACAGUGCAGGAGGGGAGAGCACUGGUGGUAGAGAGGAGUGAUGACAAGGGUCUCCGCCAAAAGGGAAAUGGAGGGGUUAAAGAAGCUGCUGGGGAGGGUUAAAAACAAUGUGUUCUCACUCGUAGGUGGGAAUUGAACAAUGAGAACACUUGGACACAGGAAGGGGAACAUCACACACUGGGGCCUGUCGUGGGGUGUGGGGAGGGAGGAGGGAUAGCAUUAGGAGAUAUACCUAAUGUAAAUGAUGAGUUAAUGGGUGCAGCACACCAACAUGGCACAUGUAUACCUAUGUAACAAACCUGCACAUUGUGUACAUGUACCCUAGAACUUAAAGUAUAAUUAAAAAACAAAACAAAACAAAACAAAAACAAUGAGGUGCUAUUGUUUUAGUGGUGAGUAUCCGGAGACCUGGGAGUUCUAUUUACCAGGUAUAACCUGGGCUCAAAAUUCCAGGCUGACUUCAGGCAUGUCCUCAUCUCAUAGAUGCCAGCACUAAGGCCCAGAGAGGGCCGAGCUCAUUCAGCCCACCCAUCUUCUCACCCCUGACUGCAUUUCCCGGGGGUCCUUCUGCAGCCAGGUGCUGCUGUGGUACUUUGGGAUCUAUUGGCUGAGCUCCCAGAGAAGGGUCAUGGAUUGGGCUAGUUUGGAACAAGUGAAGGGACUGAAGAUGGGCUCAGUAUGGGGCGAAGACCUUCAGGAAGGGUCUGCAGAGUGAGUAGGGGGGUUUUGACUAGGAAAAGUUCCAACCCUGCCGGGGCCGCUGUCAAGAGAAAAGCAUCUAUUACAGUUACAUUUUUAAGUUAAGUAGACUGAAGAAUAUUUCUUGUGUAUUAAAGACGUUCCUUUUUGGUUGAUUUGCAAUGGAAAAGCUUUUGUUUUCUUUUUUUUUUUGGAAACAGGGUCUCACUCUGCUCACUCUGUCUCCCAAGCUGGAGUGCAGUGGUACAGUCACGGCUCACUGCAGCCUCCACUUCCUGGACUCAAGUGAUCUUCUCACUUCAGCCUUCUGAGUAGCUGGGACUACAGGUAGACCCAGUGUAAUCACAAGCAUCCUUGUAAGUGGCAAAGAGGCAGAGGAGACAGCGCCAGAGAGGCAGCUGCAUGAGAAGGAUCAAGAUGUUGCUGACUUUGAAGUUGGAAGAAGAAGGCCAUGAGCCUCAGUAUGUGGGCGGCUUCUAGAAGCUGGAAGGGGCAAGGAGAUGGAUUUGACCCUUCAGCCUCCAGGGGCAGCUGUACCUGCCAUCACUGAUUGUAGCCUGGUGAGGCCUGUUUUAGACUUCUGACCUGUAGAGCUGUAACAUAAUACAUUUGGGUUGUUUUCAACCACUAAGUUUGUGGUAAUUUGUUGUAGCAGCUGUAGAAAAUGAAUACAUAUGAAUCCUCUGGCAUUUGUUUGAGAUUUGCUCUAUGGCCUAGUAUGUGGUUGUAAAUGUUCCAUCUGUGCCUGAAAAAAUGUAUAUUUCUAAUUCAGUAGUCUCUGCUUUUUUUUUUUAUUUUGUACCCCAUCAAUAAAAUGAUUUUCAGCAUGUAUCCCCAAAUAAACAAUAUUUUAUUUAUUGAUUGAUUGAUAAACAGACAUGUUUAAUGAUAGCUUGCUUUUCACAGAGGUGACUUCGGAGACUUCUAAUCUAUAAUCCAGGAGUAUAUAACCAUGCAGCACAGACCAAUUAGUCACAUGUAAAAUAAACUAGAUUCUUACCAC